This 86-nucleotide transfer RNA is filed under the name Methanopyrus kandleri AV19. Its description in RNAcentral is "tRNA-Glu". The record is from RNAcentral. Lineage: Archaea; Methanobacteriati; Methanobacteriota; Methanopyri; Methanopyrales; Methanopyraceae.
GGCCCGCGGGUGACCGCGGGCCCGCCGAUAUCAUGCGGGACUUUCGACAUCCCGCGACCCGGGUUCAAAUCCCGGCCGGGGCACCA